UACCAGACUCCUACGGGAGGCAGCAGUGGGGGAUAUUGCACAAUGGGGGAAACCCUGAUGCAGCGACGCCGCGUGGGCGAAGAAGUAUUUCGGUAUGUAAAGCCCUAUCAGCAGGGAAGAAGAAAUGACGGUACCUGAGUAAGAAGCACCGGCUAAAUACGUGCCAGCAGCCGCGGUAAUACGUAUGGUGCAAGCGUUAUCCGGAUUUACUGGGUGUAAAGGGAGCGCAGGCGGCACGGCAAGCCUGAUGUGAAGGCCCGCGGCCCAACCGCGGGACUGCAUUGGGAACUACCGGGCUGGAGUGCCGGAGAGGUAGGCGGAAUUCCUAGUGUAGCGGUGAAAUGCGUAGAUAUUAGGAGGAACACCAGUGGCGAAGGCGGCUUACUGGACUGUAACUGACGUUGAGGCUCGAAAGCGUGGGGAGCAAACAGGAUUAGAUACCCCAGUAA
RNAcentral lists this ribosomal RNA (449 nucleotides) under uncultured bacterium. RNAcentral's name for it is "bacterial SSU rRNA". It matches the Rfam family "Bacterial small subunit ribosomal RNA", at positions 329 to 793 of the family's 1533-position model. The record is from RNAcentral.